Molecule: long non-coding RNA, 405 nt
Organism: Mugil cephalus (flathead mullet)
Lineage: Eukaryota; Metazoa; Chordata; Actinopteri; Mugiliformes; Mugilidae
Exons: 4
Source: RefSeq, a predicted model, not a curated record
CACCUGCUUUCCUGUAAAUGGAGAAGAGAGGCAGCAUUCAAUUCAAGUGUGUAGUCAGUUCAGACUCCAUUUAGAGGAACACUGAAGGCUGAAGCAGGAUUCCAUCAUCAUGUGAUCUGAGUUCAUUAGUUUGAGCCAUUCUUCCAUUUGCUUCCAGAAGAAGUUGAUAACUGACUGAAGUCAGAAGAUGGAGAAAGAGUCUACAGCAUCCAGCUGUCUGUCUAUGAAGAGUGACUGGUCCAAAGGUCAACCUCCACAGUUCAGGGAAGAACCUGGACCCUCAGACACACAGAGGCUUCAUCAGUCGACAGGAUGAAUAUAAAUGCUCAACUGUACAGAAACUCAAAGCUGAUGUUGGUCUGCAAGAGGUUUUAGAUGAACAUAAGAUCAGUCUGAGGAGGAGAU